UUAAAAUAAUUUUUAAAUUUAAAACACUACAUUAAAUGUCAUCAGUCAAAAUUCAUAUGAUCUUAUUAAUAUACAAACUCAAGUUAAAUAGUAUAAAAAAAUAUCAAAUAUUAAAUGCCAAUAUAAAGAUUUAUCAAUUAUCAAAAUUCACAAGAACUUGAUGUAGAUUUACUUCAGUGGGAUCAUCUUCACCUUUAUUUUCACCCUGCUGAGUAAAAGAAUAGAGAAAUGGUAUAAAUUGAUAUUGAUUGGGAUUGUUUUAUUUAGUUUAGCCUUUUUCUAAUUUAAAAGACAUUGAGUUUUUUAUUAGUACAUGAUUCUUGCAGAUUGAUCUUUUGAAUGAUGGGAAGACAAAAUGUUAGAAAGUGGAGUAGAAACUUAAUUCUGGGCAAGAAAUUAUCAUCGAAGUCUAAUUCAUCAAAACCCCAAGAUGUUCUUAAACCUUCAAGUAACAAGGACAUGGUGAUGGUGGUG
Non-coding RNA from Arachis ipaensis, 474 nucleotides. NCBI's taxonomy places the organism in Eukaryota, Viridiplantae, Streptophyta, Magnoliopsida, Fabales, Fabaceae. The record is from RefSeq and is a predicted model, not a curated record.